UACAGAGACCUCAAGCGUUAUCCGGAAUCAUUGGGCGUAAAGCGUACCGAUAGGUGGUUUUGGUAGUUUUUGGGUAAAAAGCCAGAAGCUCAACUUCUGCGUUUGCUCAAAAUACUCCAAGACUAGAGGGACAAAGAGGUGGCUGGAACGAAUGGUGUAGUAGUGAAAUGCGUUGAUAUCAUUCGGAACACCGAAAGCGAAGGCAGGCCACUGGGUGUCACCUGACACUGCUAGGACGAAAGCGUGGGGAGCGAAUGGG
RNAcentral lists this ribosomal RNA (259 nucleotides) under uncultured bacterium. RNAcentral's name for it is "partial 16S ribosomal RNA". It matches the Rfam family "Bacterial small subunit ribosomal RNA", at positions 524 to 776 of the family's 1533-position model. The record is from RNAcentral.